UACGUAGGGAGCAAGCGUUGUCCGGAAUCAUUGGGCGUAAAGCGCGCGUAGGCGGCCCGGUAAGUCCGCUCUGAAAGUCCAGGGCUUAACCCUGGAAAGCGGGUGGAUACUGCCGGGCUUGAAUCCGGAAGAGGCGAGUGGAAUUCCUGGUGUAGCGGUGGAAUGCGCAGAUAUCAGGAGGAACACCAAUAGCGAAGGCAGCUCGCUGGGACGGUAUUGACGCUAAGGCGCGAAAGCGUGGGGAGCAAACAGG
RNAcentral lists this ribosomal RNA (253 nucleotides) under uncultured bacterium. RNAcentral describes it as "partial 16S ribosomal RNA". It matches the Rfam family "Bacterial small subunit ribosomal RNA", at positions 524 to 776 of the family's 1533-position model. The record is from RNAcentral.